RNAcentral lists this ribosomal RNA (969 nucleotides) under uncultured bacterium. RNAcentral describes it as "bacterial SSU rRNA". It matches the Rfam family "Bacterial small subunit ribosomal RNA", at positions 533 to 1501 of the family's 1533-position model. The record is from RNAcentral.
GGGGGGGGUUCUCGGGGAUUACUGGGCGUAAGCGCACGCAGGCGGUCAGUCAAGUUCAGGGUGACAGUCACCAGCUUAACUGGUGAAGUACUUUGAAAACUGGUUGACUUGAGAGCGAGAGAGGAACCUGGAACUCCGGGUGGAGCAGUGAAAUGCGUAGAGAUCCGGAAGAACACCCAAGGCGAAGGCAGGGUUCUAGCUCGUUUCUGACGCUAAGGUGCGAAAGCCAGGGGAGCGAACGGGAUUAGGUACCCCGGUAGUCCUGGCCGUAAACGAUGACCACUAGACAUGGGAGGUUCGACCCUUUCCGUGCCGAAGCUAACGCGAUAAGUGGUCCGCCUGGGGAGUACGGUCGCAAGACUAAAACUCAAAGGAAUUGACGGGGACCCGCACAAGCAGCGGAGCGUGUGGUUUAAUUCGAUGCGACACGCAGAACCUUACCAGGGUUUGACAUGCCGGCUGAGCCACCAGCGAUGGUGGGGCCCGCAAGGGAGGCCGGCACAGGUGCUGCAUGGCUGUCGUCAGCUCGUGCCGUGAGGUGUUGGGUUAAGUCCCGCAACGAGCGCAACCCCUACCGUUAGUCUGAAGCUUUCUAACGGGACUGCCACGAGCAACGUGGAGGAAGGCGGGGAUGACGUCAAGUCAGCACGGCCCUUACAUCCUGGGCGACACACACGCUACAAUGGCCGAGACAACGGGUUGCCAACCCGCGAGGGGGAGCCAAUCCCAGCAAACUCGGUCGUAGUUCGGAUGGCAGGCUGCAACCCGCCUGCCUGAAGCCGGAGUUGCUAGUAACCGUGGGUCAGCACACCACGGUGAAUACGUUCCCGGGUCUUGUACACACCGCCCGUCACACCACGAAAGUCGGCAACACCUGAAGCCGCUGGGCUAACCCUUGUUCUUCGGAGGAAGAGAGGCAGGCGUCGAGGGUGGGGUCGGUGAUUGGGGUGAAGUCGUAACAAGGUAACC